AUACGGAGGAUCCGAGCGUUAUCCGGAUUUAUUGGGUUUAAAGGGUGCGUAGGCGGCCUUUUAAGUCAGCGGUGAAAGUCUGUGGCUCAACCAUAGAAUUGCCGUUGAAACUGGGAGGCUUGAGUAUGUUUGAGGCAGGCGGAAUGCGUGGUGUAGCGGUGAAAUGCUUAGAUAUCACGCAGAACCCCGAUUGCGAAGGCGGCCUGCCAAGCCAUGACUGACGCUGAUGCACGAAAGCGUGGGGAUCAAACAGGAUUAGAUACCCUGGUAGUCCACGCAGUAAACGAUGAUCACUAGCUGUUUGCGAUACACUGUAAGCGGCACAGCGAAAGCGUUAAGUGAUCCACCUGGGGAGUACGCCGGCAACGGUGAAACUCAAAGGAAUUGACGGGG
RNAcentral lists this ribosomal RNA (393 nucleotides) under uncultured bacterium. RNAcentral's name for it is "partial 16S ribosomal RNA". It matches the Rfam family "Bacterial small subunit ribosomal RNA", at positions 523 to 918 of the family's 1533-position model. The record is from RNAcentral.